RNAcentral lists this ribosomal RNA (838 nucleotides) under uncultured bacterium. RNAcentral's name for it is "bacterial SSU rRNA". It matches the Rfam family "Bacterial small subunit ribosomal RNA", at positions 609 to 1447 of the family's 1533-position model. The record is from RNAcentral.
UCAACCAUAGUGUGNUCUGGAAACUGUCUGACUUGAGUGCAGAAGGGGAGAGUGGAAUUCCAUGUGUAGCGGUGAAAUGCGUAGAUAUAUGGAGGAACACCAGUGGCGAAAGCGGCUCUCUGGUCUGUCACUGACGCUGAGGCUCGAAAGCGUGGGUAGCGAACAGGAUUAGAUACCCUGGUAGUNCACGCCGUAAACGAUGAGUGCUAGGUGUUAGGCCCUUUCCGGGGCUUAGUGCCGGAGCUAACGCAAUAAGCACUCCGCCUGGGGAGUACGACCGCAAGGUUGAAACUCAAAGGAAUUGACGGGGGCCCGCACAAGCGGUGGAGCAUGUGGUUUAAUUCGAAGCAACGCGAAGAACCUUACCAGGUCUUGACAUCCCGAUGCUAUUCUUAGAGAUAGGAAGUUACUUCGGUACAUCGGAGACAGGUGGUGCAUGGUUGUCGUCAGCUCGUGUCGUGAGAUGUUGGGUUAGGUCCCGCAACGAGCGCAACCCUUAUUGUUAGUUGCCAUCAUUAAGUUGGGCACUCUAGCGAGACUGCCGGUAAUAAACCGGAGGAAGGUGGGGAUGACGUCAAAUCAUCAUGCCCCUUAUGACCUGGGCUACACACGUGCUACAAUGGUCGGUACAACGAGUUGCGAGCCGGUGACGGCAAGCUAAUCUCUGAAAGCCGAUCUCAGUUCGGAUUGGAGGCUGCAACUCGCCUCCAUGAAGUCGGAAUCGCUAGUAAUCGCGGAUCAGCACGCCGCGGUGAAUACGUUCCCGGGCCUUGUACACACCGCCCGUCACACCACGAGAGUUUGUAACACCCGAAGUCGGUGAGGUANCCUUUUAGGG